CCCGUUACGCUCGGUGGAACUGACGCUGGGAAGUUUCCGAGGAGCUGUCGGGCUGACUUGGUAUUGGUUGGGGGGGGGGGGGAGUCUACGUUCCCCUUUAAGCGAUGUUAACUGCGUCCUUCUCCAGAUCCUUUUGAGGAGAGAUUGAAAAGGUCGGAAGUGGAGACGAAAAAUAGCCCUGCAAUUGCGAACUCGUCAGUAGAUGUUUGUGAGGACCUGGCAUGGUCGACAAGACGGGAGGGCGUUUCCCCCCACACACUCCCCGCCGCGCUGUAUUUAUUUGGUGCUUCAGUGUUUGGUCAAGUUGAGGCAGAGCGCCUGGUCCCCCGAGUUCCUGACUCAGGUUUCCACAAAAGCGUGGUUGUACGAAACACCCCGAAACUUUUCCACACGCUCACUUGUCUCUCUCUCUCACACACACACACACACACACACACAUACACACACAAUUUGUGCUUCUCAGGAAUCGGCCGACUGACUGAACACCAACUCUGCAAAAGAACAAUAGCUGAACACAUCCCACCUUCCCGGGAGAAACAGGAGGCAAGACACCCUAACACCGCACUCCCCUUUGCCGGGUGCUUAAAAACAAAAAAAGGCCGGCCAGUCGCCGCACGCUGCAUGCCGGGAUGAGUAGUUUCUCCAAGCAGCCAGGCGCCGGGUUCAGAACACAGGCGCCACACGACUCUCGGUCCCAGCCACAAGCGCUGUCCACUGUUCAUCGCCGACGGAGACAAGCAGGCCGGGGAUACUUGGUGUUUGGCCGACGACCGCCGAACUUGGGGUGCAGAGUGCAUUGCCGCCGCCGGGUAGGGCGCCUGAGGGACCUGGCCGGGAGAGGCGGAGCGGGGAUUUCUGUCAGCGCCAGCGCCCUUGAGCACCUAGACAUGAACGGCUUCACGCCUGAGGAGAUGAGCCGCGGCGGGGACGCGGCUGCCGCCGUGGCUGCGGUGGUUGCGGCUGCAGCGGCCGCCGCCUCCGCCGGGAACGGGAACGCUGCAGGCGCCGGGGCUGAGGUACCCGGCGCCGGGGCGGUCUCAGCGGCUGGGCCCCCGGGGGCGGCCGGGCCGGGCCCCGGGCAGCUAUGCUGUUUACGGGAGGACGGUGAGCGGUGCGGCCGAGCGGCUGGCAAUGCCAGCUUCAGCAAGAGGAUUCAGAAGAGCAUCUCCCAGAAGAAGGUGAAGAUCGAGCUGGAUAAGAGUGCAAGGCAUCUUUACAUUUGUGAUUAUCAUAAAAACUUAAUUCAGAGUGUCCGAAACAGAAGAAAGAGAAAAGGGAGUGAUGAUGAUGGAGGUGAUUCACCUGUUCAAGACAUUGAUACUCCAGAGGUUGACUUAUACCAAUUACAAGUAAAUACACUUAGGCGAUACAAAAGACACUUCAAGCUACCAACCAGACCAGGACUUAAUAAAGCUCAACUUGUUGAGGUGAAUAAAGUACAAAGGGAUGAAUGGAAGGAUAUGUCACAGAACUAACAAGGACCAAAAAAGGUGCCAAUUUAUCUUUCCCACCAUAUAAAGAGGAAGGAGAAAUGGUUACUUCUCUUUGCAUCUUGUACUUUGAAAGAAAGCUCUACUGUUGAAAUUUCUAUAUGGAAUUUUCAGUGAUUAGAUGCAGCUUAAGAAUGAAUUAUUUCAGGCUAUUACUCAAACUUCUUGUUGAACCCUGCUCUAGAGACCACCUGUCUCAUGAAGAAAGCCUUAGAAACUCCCCAAAGUGAACAUCUUAAGUGACAUCUAGCAUGUUUUAAGCUUACAUCCUUCUGGAAUCACUGAAACUGGAGGUGCAGGGGGGAAGCAGCUGCUGGGUUCAGCCUUCACAGUUCAGAUCCUCCCAGGAGAGAGGAUAUCCUCCAUGGCGGCUGGGUAACUAAGACAAUACAGUGGAAUGCGCGGCAAGAGGGUGAGUCUUCCAGAAGAUGAAGGGUUAUUCACAAGAAUCUGGUCUCCAUUAAGAAUAGAACAAGAGGAAAUAUGUUUGAAUUGCAGAAGGAAGAAUUUAAGCUCAAUCCACUCUCUGACAAUGUUGGUAAUCAGUACAAUAGAUAUCCAAGAGAGACUAAGCAAUAUCCUUCCUUAGAUCUGUAAAAUUGUGAUAGACAUUGUGUUGCUAACAGUUUCCAAAAAUCAUAAGGCCUUUUGAAUAUUCUAUCUAGCACUUAAAAUUUGCAUCACUCUACUCACUUUUCCAAUAUCACUCUUAAACUUUUCUAAAUUAUUCCUCUUAUUACUAUUACUUAAUCCAAUAACAUG
Marmota monax (woodchuck) is the source of this 2252-nucleotide RNA transcript. It is a transcript of the gene named Sin3A associated protein 30, with no coding region annotated. NCBI's taxonomy places the organism in Eukaryota, Metazoa, Chordata, Mammalia, Rodentia, Sciuridae. The record is from RefSeq and is a predicted model, not a curated record. The transcript is spliced from 9 exons.